UUAUGGCCAUAUCACAUUGAAACACUAGUUCCUGUAUGGUCACCAAAGUUAAGCAAUGCCGAGCCUGGCCAGUACUUUGAUGGGUGACCACUUGAGAAUAUCAGAUGUUGUAAGC
Molecule: non-coding RNA, 115 nt
Organism: Acanthosepion pharaonis
Lineage: Eukaryota; Metazoa; Mollusca; Cephalopoda; Sepiida; Sepiidae
Source: the annotation of a GenBank genome assembly